AUUUCCCCACCAAAUACAACCCAGUAGCUAAGCACAUGAGCAAGUGAAGGCAAAUAAAAUCAGUUGCAAUUGAAGGCGAGGCCUUACCGAGCCCAGAUCAAAUAGCAAACAGCCCUAUUCAGGUCCAGUGUUAUUAUCAGCCUUGUAACUGGUCCGGUGCUGGUCAACUGUUCUGGUGGUACCAUUCUUACCGAUCAAAACGCCGACCAUUAGUGUUCUACAGAGAUUGGAAACAAGCAAGACAAAAUCGAAUUUGAAAAGAAAAAAUCAGAGAUGGAACAAAGAGGAAUUUGGGCUACUAAAACCUGUAGCCAAGGGUUUUGGAUAAGCUUACUAGUGUUCUUAUGCAUGAUCACAACAACACAAGUGGAGGGAUCAAUUCAUGAGUACAGAAACGAAGCUUUUACUCCCAAGACAAAUGCCUUCAUUUUCCAUGGUGGUAGUGAAGGGCUCUAUGCUUCUAAAGCUCCUCCUGAUUCCUCUGGUACCACCCAAUCAGGAAAAUCUUUCGUAAGGUUUGAAGGAGUGACGUUUAGGAGGACUAAAGAGUCGGCGAGUAGGCAAGAGGGAAUGCAGGAGAGUACUGGAGUGGUUGAAGCAAUCAUACUUGAUGUGCAAGAUAGGAAGAGGAUUGGAGGGGCAUUUUUGAAGAUUAAUGCUAUAUGUUGUAAUAGUACACUUGCGGAGACGGGUUCUUGCAAGUUAGGAGAGGUGAUUUUACAGAAGAAUCCAGAUAUUCCCAGCUGGCCGAGGGUUAUUAAGACGCACUUUGCAGGAAAAAAUGAAGAAGUGAAAAUGGGGAGUGAGGAAGUUGAGAUAAACAGUAAUGGAAUGUAUCACCUUUAUUUUAUGUUUUGUAACUCAGAAUUGAAGGGGACAUUGAUUAAUGGAAGGACUGUGUGGAAGAACCCGAAUGGUUAUUUGCCGGGAAAGUUGACUCCUUUGAUGACUGUCUUUGGAAUUAUGUCUUUAGCUUAUCUUGUGCUUGGAUUAGUAUGGUUCUUAAGGUUUGUUCAAUUCUGGAAGGGUAUUAUCAUACAGUUGCAUUACCAUAUUACAGCAGUUAUUGCUCUUGGGAUGUGCGAGACGGCUGUUUGGUAUUUUGAAUAUGCCAAUUUUAAUUCUGCUGGAUUGAGACCGAUGGGUAUUACAUUGUGGGCUGUCACUUUCACCACUGUGAAGAAGACUCUAUCCCGCCUUCUUCUUUUUGUUGUCACGAUGGGCUUUGGAGUGGUUAGGCCAGCCCUCGGUGGCAUAACAUCAAACGUGCUUGUUCUUGGUUUGGUAUAUUUUAUUGCUUCCGAGGCAUUCGAGCUCGUUAAAUAUUUUGGAAACAUCAAUGACUUUUCCAAGAAAACAAAGGUGUUUAUGGUACUUCCAGUUGUUUUCCUAGAUUCCUGCUUUAUUCUCUGGAUUUUCUCAUCGCUAUCAAAAACUUUAGAGAAGCUUCAGAUGAGGAGAAACAUGGCUAAGUUAGAACUGUAUCGGAAGUUUACCAAUGCCCUUGCAGUGUCUUUACUGCUCUCCAUUGCCUGGAUUGGUUUUGAGCUAUACUUCAAUACAACUGAUCCACUAAGUGAGCUGUGGCAAGUUGCAUGGGUCAUCCCUGCUUUCUGGACUCUGCUUGCGUACUUUCUCUUGGUGGUAAUAUGUGUCCUCUGGGCUCCUUCAUGUAACCCAUCUAGAUAUGCAUAUUUAGAAGGGGAGGACUUUGACGGGGAGGGUAUAUCAUUGACAACUGGGGAUAUUGCGACAAAGCUGGAAAGUAAUGCACUUGUUGAAGAUCUUGAGGAGGAUAAGCAGGAGUAGAUGAAUAAUAACUAGUAAAGGUGAAUCUGAUUGGCGCUUCAGUUGCAUAUCCAGAUUCUUUCUUAGUAGAGGGAAAGGAAUGCAGGGCCUGGAGACCUGAUGCUGCUGACUGAGGCCGCAAGAAACCUUCCUCCACGGCAAUUCCUGACAUCAAUUGCAGCUUUGGACCUGUUUGGUAUUGUGGAAUAAAUUCAGUUAGAAAUGCCAAAAAAAAUAAAAUCAAUUUGGUAUCUUUUCAAUCUAACCAUAUUAAAAAAAGAAAAGAAAAAAGAAACAUUUUUCUGCUAAACUAUGUGUGGACCUAAUAUUUGAUGUAGAGCUGCUAUUACAAAAAAUGUAUUUAUUUUUUA
This is an RNA transcript of Populus euphratica (Euphrates poplar), 2159 nucleotides long. It is a transcript of the gene named transmembrane protein 87B-like, with no coding region annotated. The record is from RefSeq and is a predicted model, not a curated record. The transcript is spliced from 6 exons. NCBI's taxonomy places the organism in Eukaryota, Viridiplantae, Streptophyta, Magnoliopsida, Malpighiales, Salicaceae.